RNAcentral lists this long non-coding RNA (375 nucleotides) under Homo sapiens (human). RNAcentral describes it as "HSALNT0266772". The record is from RNAcentral. Lineage: Eukaryota; Metazoa; Chordata; Mammalia; Primates; Hominidae.
UAGCAAGGUAGCCUGUGGACACGGAUGGUAGUCUCGUUGUAUCGGGCUUGCACUGUGUUUGUGAAACACCUUCAUACUUGUGUGUGUGUCUUUCUUUUCUUUUGGUUUAGUCUUGCAUGCACUGUAGGUUUUGGUUACCUGUUUGGGUUCCCAAAGCCUCCAUUCUGUCACUGUCUGAAUGGUGUGGGCAUAGUUAAGAGGCUAUACUCUGGAUUUAGGGUUUCCCCUUGUUCUGCGGUGACUACAAUCAGCUGAGAUUCCAACCAGAUCUAAAGGAUUAAAGUGGCCUCACAUAUCGCCACUCACCUAGAGCAAAUGAUACAAAAUGGGGAUGGCUAUAUCUUGUCCUGGGUGUCAUGGUAAAUGAGUCGGAAA